UAUAAGUUCCAAGCUGCACAGAAAGUUUUAAAUUUACUUUAGCGGAUCACUCUUGUCAUAUUUUUGGUGAGUGAAUGGCUGAUAUAACAGGACCGAUUUUUGAAGUGAAUGAUUUGAAAAAUUGAUUCCCUUAGCGUCAUGGCUUUUUUAAAGGUUCAUACGCUGAAGAUCUGCAAUGAAUUUAUUUAAAUCAUAGUUUAUUCUUCUUAAAAAGGCCUGCAGUUCCUCUAUCAGCUUUUGAGAAUACAGAGUUGAAUCUUAAGUAUAUCUCUUUGAAAUUACAAAGAGAAAAGGCAUAUUUUAUGAGUAAUGAUUUCUUUUGAAAUGUCUUCAAAAGCGAAGAUUGUGAACUUCAUUAUUUUUUUCUUCGUCAUUCAUGAAGUUUUCAGUGAUUCAGUGGCAACUGCCGACGAGGAACUUUAUAAUCAAAAUUCUGACUCAGGCUCAUCUGGAGUCGGAAGGAUGAAACAACUACUGAACAAUAUCGUCUCCAACAAAGUUAAAAGAUCACCACAGUGGCAUCAAAGCUUAUUAGUUCAAGGCUUAUCUCGGCCUUUUUGCAAUCUUUUUGGUGGUAAUACUGGUUGUACACCAAAUCCGGCAAGCAACGUGCAAUCCAAUCCCACGCAGUGUGCAAUUGGUUACAGAUAUGAUUACGCUACGCAGCGGUGCAGGCAAAUACAGUAUGGCAAAUGAUAAGGAAGCAGAUUUGAUGGAUUAAAGUUCAUACACGAUAUUUUCUAUUGAUUAUGUUAUAUCACUGUGAAAUUGCCAUUUCCAUUUCAAGGGACUACAAUAAGCAUUUAAUCAAUUCAAAUUCAAAUGAAGAGGAAGAAAAGUACACUUGAAAUGAAUACAUAAAAAAAAGCGACAAAUUUCAAAUUAAAAAUAAUAAUAAAGAUUCAUUUCAAUAUUUAGCAGCUAUUAUAAAUGCUAUAUAAGUAACAAUUAAAUUAUAGGUCAUUUCAAUAGCUAUAAUUACAAUUAAAAAUUUUAUUUUUAAAAAUAGUUUUAUUAAUAAAUAAGAAUAUUAAUAGAUUGGCUGAUCCCACUCAAAGCAUACAUGAUAUAUUGUCUAUUCUUCAGAGUUAAGAAAUUUAUAUAUUAUAAGACAACAUACAAUAUUCUCAAUACUAGAAUAUUUGUAUAAAUGUAUGCAUGUGUAAGUAUUUACGUCAUUUAUAUUUUAAACUUCUAUUGGUUGAUCUUUGAAAUUAGAAAAAUCUAUAAAUAGUUUUAAAAAAAUAAGACCACACUCGUUUAUGAAAGUACAUUCGUUUCUUUUAAUUAGGAGUAUUCAAAAUUUUGCUGUAGGUAGAGUAACGUAUUCCAGAACUUGUAAUACAAAACCAAAGGAGUUUGAAAGAUUCACACUCAAGUAAGUUAAGGCCAAAUCUAAUUUUGACAAAUUUAGGCAUUUUUUAAAAAAAUUUCACUUUGAAAUGUAUUUUUAUUUAUUAAAAAGAUAAUAAAUAAGGAACGGUUUUCAUUAAAAUUUAAGACACAUUAUUGUUGGAUGAAAGGAAUGGUAUUCGAAGAGCGGGAGGAUUAUUUUGUUGCAAUAGUGUUACUCUGCAAAUUACUACUUUUAUGUCUUUCACACAUGUGCAAAGUCUUCUAGAAUUUUACCAUC
Molecule: long non-coding RNA, 1633 nt
Organism: Argiope bruennichi
Lineage: Eukaryota; Metazoa; Arthropoda; Arachnida; Araneae; Araneidae
Exons: 3
Source: RefSeq, a predicted model, not a curated record